RNAcentral lists this ribosomal RNA (424 nucleotides) under Fusobacteriota bacterium. Its description in RNAcentral is "Fusobacteria bacterium partial 16S ribosomal RNA". It matches the Rfam family "Bacterial small subunit ribosomal RNA", at positions 355 to 776 of the family's 1533-position model. The record is from RNAcentral. Lineage: Bacteria; Fusobacteriati; Fusobacteriota.
UGAGGAAUAUUGGUCAAUGGUCGAGAGACUGAACCAGCCAAGUCGCGUGAAGGAUGACUGCCCUAUGGGUUGUAAACUUCUUUUACAAGGGAAUAAAAUGAGAUACGUGUAUUUUAUUGCAUGUACCUUGUGAAUAAGCAUCGGCUAACUCCGUGCCAGCAGCCGCGGUAAUACGGAGGAUGCGAGCGUUAUCCGGACUUAUUGGGUUUAAAGGGUGCGUAGGUGGGCUGUUAAGUCAGCGGUAAAAGUUUGUCGCUUAACGAUAAAAUUGCCGUUGAAACUGGUAGUAUUGAGUAUAGAAGGAGAAGGCAGAAUGCGUGGUGUAGCGGUGAAAUGCAUAGAGAUCACGCAGAACUCCGAUUGCGAAGGCAGCUUACGAAGGUAUAACUGACACUGAAACACGAAAGCGUGGAUAUCAAACAGG